GGAUAGCAUCAUCAUUCUUUUUAAUAUUAGGCAAUUCAUAUAAUUCAGCCCCAAAGUAACCCUCUUUAUCAUUUUCCUUUCUCUAGGUUUUCUGAAUUUUCCAAGACAAAGCAGAAUUAACAACUCUUCUAUGAAGUAGUUGGAGAAGUUGGGGUGAAGGAUGAGGGGGAAGACAUAGCCAGUGUGUCACUGUGAAAUAAAGUAUGGUGCCAAGUUUGAGACUGAUGCUAAUGACAUCUCACAUCAUGUUGCAUCUUAAAGUUAAUAAAAUGACUUCCUUAGGAACCUGUGAAUAUAUGAUUAUACCUAUUUCUUAGAUUAAGACAUUGAGACUGAAGUGACUUGCCCAGACUCCUACAUCGACUAAGUGUCAGAACUAUUGAGCCUGAUGCAGUUUUUUGACCCCAACAUCUGAUCAUGCAAAUCAUCUUUUUGUUAGUUAGUUGCCCAGACUAUUUUGUUUUCUCUGCCCUCCCUACUUCAGUCUGUGUACCUUGUUAAGUAUUUUAGGCCAUGUAUUAUGUCCCAGAUACCUUCUUGUGAUUGCGGUACCCUUUUGUGCAUUUUAGGUCUUUGCCAUGAGCUCAGGACAGGGACAUCUGCAUGCAUCUGUGAUCCUUUUCCCCUGGACCUUUCUCAUCAUAGACCUCUCACCCGGGUGAGGAAUAGUAAAGUGGAGGAAUUCCAUGGAGACUGGAACAACCUCCAGGAAGUGAUGCAGAGUGAGAGGAGCAGAACCAGGAGAACAUUGUACACAGAGACUGAUACACUGUGGUACAAUCGAACGGACUGAAAUUCUCUACUAGCAGCAAUGCAAUGAUCCACAACAAUAUGGAGGGACUUAUAAGAAAGAACACUAUUCACAUUAAGAGGAAGAACUGUGGGAAAAGGAACACAGAAGAAAAACAACUGCUUGAUCACAUGGGUCGAUGGGGAUAUGAUUGGGGAUGUAGACUCUAAAAGAUCAUCCUAGUGAAAAUAUUAAUAAUAUGGAAAUAGGUCUUGAUCAAUGACACAUGCUAAACCCAGUGGAAUUGCAUAUCAGAUAUGGGAGGGGAGGUAAAGAACAUGAGUCUUGUAACCAUGGAAAAAUAUUCUAAAUCAUCUAAUUAAAUGAAAUAAAAAAAAGAAUAAUACAGUGAUGCCUUAUGGG
This 1153-nucleotide long non-coding RNA is filed under the name Monodelphis domestica (gray short-tailed opossum). RNAcentral's name for it is "lncRNA (ENSMODG00000035195.2)". Lineage: Eukaryota; Metazoa; Chordata; Mammalia; Didelphimorphia; Didelphidae. The record is from RNAcentral.